This 900-nucleotide long non-coding RNA is filed under the name Suricata suricatta (meerkat). RNAcentral describes it as "lncRNA (ENSSSUG00005018541.1)". The record is from RNAcentral. Lineage: Eukaryota; Metazoa; Chordata; Mammalia; Carnivora; Herpestidae.
AAAACGAGUCUCCACGGAACAUCCUGACUCUGGAAACAAAGGACUAUUCUGGCUGUCUCUGCCUUGCUGCCCCCUAAUGCAUGCUGUAUCACUGGAGUCCUGUAUGACCAGGAGAACACCUAACUGCAUCCACCUUCAUGACCCCAGUCUGCCCACAUGCUCUCCGACAAAUCCAGAGAUAAUUUUUUGACAGUAUCAAGAAGUACAGAAGCUACAACAAACAAAUCUGUACAGUUGGGAGGAACCAUCAAGCGGGGACCCAGCGGAACCAUUUUGACCCCCCUCCCCCCGUGUGCCAACGGAGCCAAUCCGCGCAGCCCCUGGGACCAUCCGGGACACCAAUUGCACUGCCCUCCUCCUUCCGGCUCACUUCUCACACAGUAAUUCUCAUCGUGGCUCCACAACCACACCACUGAGUAAGUACAUGGAUCAGCUCAAGACAAUCGAGGAAAAGACACUGUCGUUGGAUUGCAGAAAAACAUUAGAUUUACAGGUUUUGAUGCCUUAAAUAUUUUACCUAUGUUACAAAAUAUAGAAAUCUUGCCGUGAAAAGCUCAUGCUAAGAUAGAUAUAACCGAUAAGAUGGAACUAUAGUAAUAAAGUCAUAUUAAAUUAUCCAUCCAGAGCUACUUUAUCCAGGAGGAACAAAUAUUUGUAAAAAGCCAACUUAUUCAUUCUUACUUUUAAAAAUAGUCUUGUUUAUAAAACAAAAAGGAAAGAAAAAUCAAUUAUUCUGCAGACUCACUCUUCAUAAGAACAGAAAUGUGACAGACAUUUCUGAAUGAAGGAAGGAAAACAGGGAAAGUGCUUACUUUUUACAUGGCCCAGAUUCAACCCGUGUUCCCAAAUCAUUUUAUGUAAAACGACCACAUUCUGCAUGUUAUGGGACAUUCACACAUG